AGUUGCUUUACAGCAGGCAGCUGUCUUUACCCAUUCAUUGUACAUGUAUAAGCAAGGAGGUUCCUCGGGCAAGUCAGCGGGAUUACUUGAAUUAAUGACAGCAACGCCUGUGGCCGAGCGGAAAAUCACGGGCGUUACCUCAGUGGGGAGCCGCUCCGACAGGUAGUGGAACGGUAGCGAGGUAAAUUAUUAACGUAGUAUGACAACGCGGCGGUUAAGUGCAUUCAUAUACUAUAAACUACGUGUGAGUAUCUAAAUGCUGUAAGAAAUGAUUAUUCGACAAUGGAAUAAAUGAUAGUAAAA
Wasmannia auropunctata (little fire ant) is the source of this 303-nucleotide long non-coding RNA. RefSeq lists it as uncharacterized. NCBI's taxonomy places the organism in Eukaryota, Metazoa, Arthropoda, Insecta, Hymenoptera, Formicidae. The record is from RefSeq and is a predicted model, not a curated record. The transcript is spliced from 2 exons.